UACAGAGGGUGCAAGCGUUGUUCGGAAUUACUGGGCGUAAAGGGCGCGUAGGCGGCACUGUUAGUCAGGCGUGAAAGUCCUGGGCUCAACCUGGGAACUGCGCUUGAUACGGCAGAGCUAGAGGAUGGAAGAGGCUCGCGGAAUUCCCAGUGUAGAGGUGAAAUUCGUAGAUAUUGGGAAGAACACCGGUGGCGAAGGCGGCGAGCUGGUCCAUUACUGACGCUGAGGCGCGACAGCGUGGGGAGCAAACAGG
This 253-nucleotide ribosomal RNA is filed under the name uncultured bacterium. RNAcentral's name for it is "partial 16S ribosomal RNA". It matches the Rfam family "Bacterial small subunit ribosomal RNA", at positions 524 to 776 of the family's 1533-position model. The record is from RNAcentral.